Molecule: ribosomal RNA, 253 nt
Filed under: uncultured bacterium
Lineage: Bacteria
Description: partial 16S ribosomal RNA
Rfam family: Bacterial small subunit ribosomal RNA
Source: RNAcentral
UACGUAGGUGGCAAGCGUUGUCCGGAAUUAUUGGGCGUAAAGCGCGCGCAGGUGGUUUCUUAAGUCUGAUGUGAAAGCCCACGGCUCAACCGUGGAGGGUCAUUGGAAACUGGGGAACUUGAGUGCAGGAGAGAAGAGUGGAAUUCCACGUGUAGCGGUGAAAUGCGUAGAGAUGUGGAGGAACACCAGUGGCGAAGGCGGCUCACUGGACCAUAACUGACGCUGAUGCACGAAAGCUGGGGGAGCAAACAGG